GUGAGUUUUUAGCAUCCUCCUUCAGCAACGUUAUGACAGACAUGGUAAUAUGCUGAGGCACAGGACAGAGGACGAAAUGCAGGAUACGGGUAAACACACAGAAUCCACUGAAACCCCUGUGAAGUUCCACGGGACAAAUCUGAUCAGACGUAAGAGCUGCUGCCCUGAUGUCUGUUUGCUCGCAGGAUGAAAAGAAGGAGAAAAGGAAAAAGGAGGAAUGAUGAAGGUGGAGACCAGCCACCAUGUUAUGGGUUUGAGUGAAAGGCAAUGGACCCCCACUGUGGA
Pelmatolapia mariae (spotted tilapia) is the source of this 285-nucleotide long non-coding RNA. RefSeq lists it as uncharacterized. Lineage: Eukaryota; Metazoa; Chordata; Actinopteri; Cichliformes; Cichlidae. The record is from RefSeq and is a predicted model, not a curated record. The transcript has 3 exons.